UUUCUCCUUUGCAAUCCCUGAGUUUUUGGUUGCAAUUCUAGCACAACCCUUUCGGGUGGGCGGGACUUCUGAGAAGUCCUCUCCCAUAGGACAGUGGUUUCUCUUGAGUGACAGUUCAGUGACCUGGAAGUGAUGUAGCCUCCAAGACAUUUUUUUUCCACCUGGUCAACAACAUGAAUUUUGAGCUCCAAACACGUUAUUUCUGCUGUCUGUGGUGUCUACUGAGGAUCUAAAGAACCUGUGGAACAUCAGAGACUUUGCAGCUAUUAGAGUUAACCUGUGUACUGCUAACUUGCUACAGAGGAAGCAGCAGAAAGCUGAGCUAACAGGCUGUUUUGCAGUGAAACGAAUGGAUUUUAUGAUGUAACUCUGACUGAUUAUCUAAAUUGAAAACUACUGCAUUGCAUUACAAUGGAAGUGCUACACGGCCACAUGCAUCAACUGCAGCUGUUGACAAGCAUAUGGACCUAUUGUUCGAGUCCGUGGUGGUGGAUGCUCUAUCAUAUCAGGAGUCUGUGGUGGUGGAUGCUCUAUCAUAUCAGGAGUCUGUGGUGGUGGAUGCUCUAUCAUAUCAGGAGUCUGUGGUGGUGGA
This is a long non-coding RNA of Nothobranchius furzeri (turquoise killifish), 592 nucleotides long. RefSeq lists it as uncharacterized. The record is from RefSeq and is a predicted model, not a curated record. NCBI's taxonomy places the organism in Eukaryota, Metazoa, Chordata, Actinopteri, Cyprinodontiformes, Nothobranchiidae.